Molecule: unclassified non-coding RNA, 404 nt
Filed under: uncultured fungus
Lineage: Eukaryota; Fungi
Description: partial contains small subunit ribosomal RNA, internal transcribed spacer 1, and 5.8S ribosomal RNA
Rfam family: Eukaryotic small subunit ribosomal RNA (bases 1-73)
Source: RNAcentral
GCAAACUUGGUCAUUUAGAGGAAGUACAAGUCGUAACAAGGUUUCCGUAGGUGAACCUGCGGAAGGAUCAUUAACAAAUCAUUGGGGUUUGGUGGUACGCAGUGUAUGCGCUUAUGGUGUACUACACGGUGUACUUGCUACCACAUAUACCCGCUCCUGAGCAGUCAAAUGCCAGGUCGGUGUGCCUUUAGUGUGUGGGGUGCAUGGAGAGUGUUCUGUGUAGAGAGGUAGUAAUGGGCAGUGAUGCAUAUUACUACUACUACUACUACUGGAUAAUCAUACACUGCCCCCCCACUGGGCCACAUAGACGCUUUUCUUGUUUGACAGAGUUUUUGUAUGACACAAAAUUGACAACAACUUUUAACAAUGGAUCUCUUGGCUCUUGCAUCGAUGAAGAACGCAGC